This is a long non-coding RNA of Corapipo altera (White-ruffed manakin), 658 nucleotides long. RefSeq lists it as uncharacterized. The transcript is spliced from 4 exons. Lineage: Eukaryota; Metazoa; Chordata; Aves; Passeriformes; Pipridae. The record is from RefSeq and is a predicted model, not a curated record.
UUUUCCAACAGUAGACUCUAUCCUCUCAAUGGAUUACUUUUCCAGCAAAGCCUCCUUAAGGUAAGACAUCCAACAGGGUUGGAUGCCCCAACUCUGGCAGUGUUCAAAGCCAGGCUGGAUAAGGCCUUGAGCAACCUGGUCUAGUGGGAGCUGUCCCUGCACAUAGCAGGGGGUUGGGACUAUGUAGUGUUUAAGGUCCAUACCAAUCCCUUAGCAUUCCAUGAUUCUACGUUUCUGUGACAUGAAAGGCUUGGAUGUAAAAUUCCCACAAGCAAUCUAUACCUCAGAAAGCUGCACCUUUCCUCAGCUUUCCUGACAAUUUCCCAAUAUGUUCUCCAACUAUGUGCCAAGACUGACCUUUUCCUCCUUAAGAGAUAUCAGUUAAGCCCACAGGAAAGGCACAUUUGUCUCAUUGCUGAGAGCUGGCCAGGAGCUCUGCAAAUGUUGGCUGCUCUGUCAGGAUAACUGGAGAAGCCUGAUGAUGAUACAUCCUCAACGAGGCCCCAGACCAAUGGGCAUUGGAUGUAACUGUCCAUGAACAGCUGUUGUAAGUGCAACAGCAUACAGGAACUUCUCUCAUUGCAAAGAUCCCAGAGAUGGGCAGCAACGCAACUGUGGUGCCUGAGAUUUUAUUUUUACAAGAGUGGCAUGCAUGACA